RNAcentral lists this ribosomal RNA (332 nucleotides) under uncultured bacterium. Its description in RNAcentral is "bacterial SSU rRNA". It matches the Rfam family "Bacterial small subunit ribosomal RNA", at positions 568 to 898 of the family's 1533-position model. The record is from RNAcentral.
CGUGUAGGCGGUCGGUCAAGUCCGAUGUGAAAGCCCGGGGCUCAGCCCCGGAAGUGCAUCGGAAACUAGCCGGCUGGAGCGCGAUAGAGGAGGGUGGAAUUCCUGGUGUAGCGGUGAAAUGCGUAGAUAUCAGGAGGAACACCGGCGGCGAAGGCGGCCCUCUGGAUCGUUGCUGACGCUGAGACGCGAAAGCGUGGGGAGCAAACAGGAUUAGAUACCCUGGUAGUCCACGCUGUAAACGAUGGGUACUAGGCGUUCGGGGUAUUGACCCCCUGAGUGCCGCAGCUAACGCAUUAAGUACCCCGCCUGGGGACUACGGCCGCAAGGUUAAA